Molecule: ribosomal RNA, 497 nt
Filed under: uncultured bacterium
Lineage: Bacteria
Description: partial 16S ribosomal RNA
Rfam family: Bacterial small subunit ribosomal RNA
Source: RNAcentral
GAUGAACGCUGGCGGCGUGCCUAAUACAUGCAAGUCGAGCGAACGGACGAGAAGCUUGCUUCUCUGAUGUUAGCGGCGGACGGGUGAGUAACACGUGGAUAACCUACCUAUAAGACUGGGAUAACUUCGGGAAACCGUAGCUAAUACCGGAUAAUAUUUUGAACCGCAUGGUUCAAAAGUGAAAGACGGUCUUGCUGUCACUUAUAGAUGGAUCCGCGCUGCAUUAGCUAGUUGGUAAGGUAACGGCUUACCAAGGCAACGAUGCGUAGCCGACCUGAGAGGGUGAUCGGCCACACUGGAACUGAGACACGGUCCAGACUCCUACGGGAGGCAGCAGUAGGGAAUCUUCCGCAAUGGGCGAAAGCCUGACGGAGCAACGCCGCGUGAGUGAUGAAGGUCUUCGGAUCGUAAAACUCUGUUAUUAGGGAAGAACAUAUGUGUAAGUAACUAUGCACAUCUUGACGGUACCUAAUCAGAAAGCCACGGCUAACUACGUG